CCGGGAUAGCCCAGGGAAACCUGGAUUAAUACCGGAUGAGACGGGACCCGCGAUGGCGGGAUCCGGGAAAGGCGCUGCGGCGCCGCCGGGGGAUGAGUCUGCGUCCCAUUAGCUAGACGGCGGGUAACGGCCCACCGUGGCGACGAUGGGUAGCCGGCCUGAGAGGGUGGACGGCCACAUUGGAACUGAGACACGGUCCAGACUCCUACGGGAGGCAGCAGCUAAGAAUCUUCCGCAAUGGGCGAAAGCCUGACGGAGCGACGCCCGCGUGAACGAAGAAGGCCGUGAGGUUGUAAAGUUCUUUUCGGGAGGGGGAACAACCGUGGCAGGGAAUGGCCGCGGGUAUGACGUGAAUCCCGGAAUAAGCCCCGGCUAACUACGUGCCAGCAGCCGC
RNAcentral lists this ribosomal RNA (394 nucleotides) under uncultured bacterium. RNAcentral's name for it is "bacterial SSU rRNA". It matches the Rfam family "Bacterial small subunit ribosomal RNA", at positions 138 to 518 of the family's 1533-position model. The record is from RNAcentral.